Molecule: long non-coding RNA, 1094 nt
Organism: Suncus etruscus (white-toothed pygmy shrew)
Lineage: Eukaryota; Metazoa; Chordata; Mammalia; Eulipotyphla; Soricidae
Exons: 4
Source: RefSeq, a predicted model, not a curated record
UCCGAGCUGAGGUUGGGGAUUUGUCUGGCCAUCCUCCUGCAGUCCACUGCUCUCUUGACCACUCUGGCUCCACGAACUCUUAAGUUGCCGGUCCCACCACCCACUCUUGGCUCGCCGGUGCCAGGGAUUCAUGCUAGGACUCCCGAUUCAGCUAGGAGCAGCCUGGAGCAGCACCCUCUGUAUGGAAGAAACCAGUGAUAUCGGAUCCCAGACAAGUUCGUGACCAGGCAGUUUAGCAUGGGGCUGGACAGCAGAAGACGACCACAUACUGAUCCAAACAAUCCAUAAGCCACUUUGGGGAAGAUUACUCUGCUUAUUUGAGGUGAAAGUGGUAUACUUAUAAUGUGCCUCAGCUAAUCAGGUAUUUACAGAAGUUGAUAUUAUUGCUACUGCUGACAUCUUUUCCUUGUUGCCACCUAGAAUGGAAGCCAGAUGAGGAGAUUCAUUAUUAUAUCCCAGUGUUUGCUAAAGGAGGAGCUCUCUUUUUUCCAGACACAGACAUAAGAGUGGCUGAGAGGAAAACAUUCAUAGUUAAAUUCGGUCUGAUCUGUCCUACUGAGGAGGUGGGCCAAGAGGAUCUGAAGGGGUAAUAUUUUUAAGUAAUUAGGUAAGUACUAUAUCGUUUCUUUUUAUCAUUAUUUGGAAAUAUUCCAGCAUGUCAUCACCCCUAAUAAUAUGAACAGCAGUCUCUGAACACUUAAGUCUAUUCCAUUGAUCUGACAGUAUAGAUUUAUUCUACUACCAUAUUGUUUUAAUGACUAUUGCUUUAUAAUACAACUUAAAGUUGGGGAAGUGAUGUCUGCCAUCUUUUUUGUAAGGAUUGGUUUAGUUAUUUGGGUGUUUAUUGUCCCAAAUUAAUUUCAGGAGCAUUUGAUCCACUUCUUUGAAAAAUGUCAUGAAUAUACUUAAUGGCAUUGCAUUAAGUUUGUACUAUGCUUUGGGUGUAUUGAAUACAUGGCUCCAGUAUGCAAAGUAUGCCUCAAGCUAUCAAGUUAUUUUCUUAAUGCUUAGUCUAUUUAAUUCAGAUUAACAGGCCCUAAUUUCAGUUGUACACAGAAUUUUCUGUGCUUUUUGUUUUCUUUUGUGCUGAUACA